Molecule: ribosomal RNA, 484 nt
Filed under: uncultured bacterium
Lineage: Bacteria
Description: partial 16S ribosomal RNA
Rfam family: Bacterial small subunit ribosomal RNA
Source: RNAcentral
AUUGAACGCUGGCGGCAGGCCUAACACAUGCAAGUCGAGCGGAUGAAGGGAGCUUGCUCCUGGAUUCAGCGGCGGACGGGUGAGUAAUGCCUAGGAAUCUGCCUGGUAGUGGAGGAUAACGUCCGGAAACGGGCGCUAAUACCGCAUACGUCCUGAGGGAGAAAGUGGGGGAUCUUCGGACCUCACGCUAUCAGGUGAGCCUAGGUCGGAUUAGCUAGUUGGUGGGGUAAAGGCCUACCAAGGCGACGAUCCGUAACUGGUCUGAGAGGAUGAUCAGUCACACUGGAACUGAGACACGGUCCAGACUCCUACGGGAGGCAGCAGUGGGGAAUAUUGGACAAUGGGCGAAAGCCUGAUCCAGCCAUGCCGCGUGUGUGAAGAAGGUCUUCGGAUUGUAAAGCACUUUAAGUUGGGAGGAAGGGCAGUAAGUUAAUACCUUGCUGUUUUGACGUUACCAACAGAAUAAGCACCGGCUAACUUCGUG